RNAcentral lists this ribosomal RNA (465 nucleotides) under uncultured bacterium. RNAcentral's name for it is "partial 16S ribosomal RNA". It matches the Rfam family "Bacterial small subunit ribosomal RNA", at positions 28 to 507 of the family's 1533-position model. The record is from RNAcentral.
GACGAACGCUGGCGGCGUGCUUAACACAUGCAAGUCGAACGGAAAGGCCCUGCUUGCAGGGUACUCGAGUGGCGAACGGGUGAGUAACACGUGGGUGAUCUGCCCUGCACUUCGGGAUAAGCCUGGGAAACUGGGUCUAAUACCGGAUAGGAGCCAUUUUUAGUGUGAUGGUUGGAAAGUUUUUUUGGUGUGGGGUGAGCUCGCGGCCUAUCAGCUUGUUUGUGGGGGAAUGGCCUACCAAGGCGGGGACGGGUAGCCGGCCUGAGAGGGUGGACGGCCACAUUGGGACUGAGAUACGGCCCAGACUCCUACGGGAGGCAGCAGUGGGGAAUAUUGCACAAUGGGCGCAAGCCUGAUGCAGCGACGCCGCGGGGGGGAUGACGGCCUUCGGGUUGGAAACUCGUUUCGCUAGGGACGAAGCUUUUUGUGACGGUACCUAGAAAAGAAGCACCGGCUAACUACGUG